GGAGACGUGUCAGAGUGGUCUAACGUGCCUCUUUGCUAAAGAGGUGUACCCCUUAAAAGGUACCGAGGGUUCGAAUCCCUCCGUCUCCG
RNAcentral lists this transfer RNA (89 nucleotides) under bacterium. RNAcentral's name for it is "tRNA-Ser". It matches the Rfam family "tRNA". From Rfam's summary of the family: Transfer RNA (tRNA) molecules are approximately 80 nucleotides in length. Their secondary structure includes four short double-helical elements and three loops (D, anti-codon, and T loops). The record is from RNAcentral.